This 455-nucleotide ribosomal RNA is filed under the name uncultured Spirochaeta sp. RNAcentral's name for it is "bacterial SSU rRNA". It matches the Rfam family "Bacterial small subunit ribosomal RNA", at positions 924 to 1382 of the family's 1533-position model. Lineage: Bacteria; Pseudomonadati; Spirochaetota; Spirochaetia; Spirochaetales; Spirochaetaceae. The record is from RNAcentral.
CACAAGCGGUGGAGCAUGUGGUUUAAUUCGAUGAUACGCGAGAAACCUUACCAGGGCUUGACAUAUACAGGAAUGUUGUAGAGAUACAGCAGCCGCUUGCGGUCUGUAUACAGGUGCUGCAUGGCUGUCGUCAGCUCGUGCUGUGAAGUGUUGGGUUAAGUCCCGCAACGAGCGCAACCCUAUCAUCUGUUGCCAGCAUUUAAGGUGGGGACUCAGAUGAGACUGCCGGUGACAAACCGGAGGAAGUGGGGACGACGUCAAGUCAUCAUGGCCCUUAUGUCCUGGGCUACACACGUGCUACAAUGGCCGGUACAGAGUGAAGCGAAACCGCGAGGUGAAGCAAAACGCAGAAAGCCGGUCUCAGUACGGAUUGGAGUCUGAAACUCGACUUCAUGAAGUUGGAAUCGCUAGUAAUCGCGCAUCAGCAUGGCGCGGUGAAUACGUUCCCGGGCCUU